This 3284-nucleotide long non-coding RNA is filed under the name Homo sapiens (human). Its description in RNAcentral is "HSALNT0021100". Lineage: Eukaryota; Metazoa; Chordata; Mammalia; Primates; Hominidae. The record is from RNAcentral.
UAUGUAAAAAGCUUAAAAGUGUUUCUGACAUCUAUUAAGACCAUAAGUGUUAGAUACUAUUAUUAUCAUCACUAUUAUUUGAAUACCAUUAUGAAGAACACCCAGUAGUACAAGAGGAGAGAGAAUCUAAGUAAGGAAACAGCUGAGCCAUCCUUGACCCUGCCAUCUGGAUAUGCUAGAAUGAAAGCCCAAUAGGAGUCAAGCUUCUAUAAGGACUUUAAAAAUCUGCAUUAGAAAUUACUUGGUGUUUCCUGUGUCUGAGUUUCCUGUUUUCCCAGCUGCACUUGGAACUGAGUUAAUCAAAGCCGCCCGAGCUUGCUCUAUUCAUCCAUUCACUUACUCAUCCCUUCAACCAAGAUUUAUUGAACACCUACUGAGUAUUAGACACUGGAAAUUAAAAGUUAAAAGUUGGAGGCAUAAACUCUCCAGAUGACUCCGAUGUUCUCCCAGGUUUAGGUGCUGUGUGGUAGACUUCACUGAGCUCUAAGAGGGAAGUUAGAGCAGAAGAAGAGGUUGUUCACUGCUGGAGAAAUGAAGAUGCUGGGGGAGGAGACUGGGAAAGUUCUAGUGUCACUGGACCUCCAGAAGUGCUCUCCAACUCCCCUCUCCUGACAGAGGCAAGAACCCACAAACCGGCACAGAUCUGGAAGGAGGAGAGGGUCAUUGCAGGUGGGUCAGAAGGAGGCAAACCCUGGGGGAAAGGGACUGGUAUUCCCUGAGAGCUCCAAUUUUGUUUUGUUUUGUUUUGAGACAGUCUCGCUCUGUCACCAGGCUGGAAUACAGUAGCGCAAUCUCGGUUCACUGCAACCUCCGCCUCCUGGGUUCAAGCAAUUCUCCUGCCUCAGCCUCCCGUGUAGCUUGGACUACAUCCAAUGUAUUAAAUCAUCUUUGGUAUUACCCAAAGUACCUGCCACCCACUCCACCCACCAUCCUCCAGGCCACAAAACUCUCCCUAAGUCCCUUAAAUAAAUCGAAAUGAAGUCACAGCAGCCUCAGUCCAGUUCAUCAAUUGCUGCCAGCAGAGAACAACUCUUCUAACCUCCCACUGCAGGCAGCCCAGCCCACCCGACCUCACAGCCCCAGGACUUACGAUCCCAGCACUUCCAUAAAAAUGAAGGUUUUCCGGAUGUUGGUGGUCUGUUUCUUCCAGGAACUGCAGUCAUCUUCUUCCUUUCGACCCAUUGCCUCCAGAGUUGAAGCUUCUGAGGAUGCUUUAUUGCAGGGAGUGGGAGAAGGAGGAGAAAAAAGGUCUGGUCAGCUGCUUUCUCAAACAAGAUUAAAAACAGGCUGCAAUACUGACAUCUUUCUGUAAUUAUCAGAAGGAAGGAUUAGGAGCAAACCUGGAUAACUGGAAAAAGUGAAACUAUCUCCACACUUGCUUUCAAAAAUUACAAGGACAAAUUCAUGGAAUGCCUACUACAUGUGCACUAUGCUUGCUGCAUGCUCACAUCAGGGCAAUAAACAACAGGGCUGUGGAUGCUGCUUUUCCAGCCAAUGAAGAGCCGCCUUCCAGCUCUGGGACCAAGAGCCAGGCGUCCAUCACUCCCUCUUCUGGAGCUUCCAUGGAAUGACGGCCUGUUCUCCAGGAGGCUGCACCACCUCAUUAGCAGAUCUGUACUCACUGUUCCUUCUUUCCCUUCUCUCUUAAAUAGCUUUAAAAACAUAGUAUUCUUAGCCGAAGCUAGGCUAUGAGAAAACAUCUUUCCCGCCCACUCCUCCUCCCAUACACUGAAUCCUAACCAUUUAGUUCCAUCUUCAGUGCAAUGUGGAAAACUCAAAGGCCCAGAUCUGAAACCCCCAUAGCUUUGGCUUUCCCUUCCCACCCCUCUGUAACCAGAGUGAUCGCCUCAAGACUCCCAUGCCCUGUGUGGUGGAGGUCUGAACAGUGGGCUUUGAAAGGGGUGCCCAUGUUCCUUCCAUGGCUGCAUCCUGCUUCUUUCUGCUAAAGUCCUCCCCCUCCUCUCUUGACUUCUGUAAUCUAGGCCUUUUCAGAGGAAAAGAAAACAAAUUCUAAGGAGCUUGAAGCUCCAAUAUUGCUCUCAUUUGUUUCCAAAGUACUCCCCGCCUCUCACUCUAUUUCUGGCAACAAUUUCCAUUGGGUUUCAAAGCUCAGGAGCAGCCGCCACAGAUUUCUCUGAGAUUUAGGGCUGAUUUUUCACAUCGAUAGCUCAGGAGACUUGGAGGAUGUCGGCUUUGUGGCUGGUUCAGGCGCCUGGCACCUCAGCACAGCAAGAUUCUCAAGAAUAUUCUGCAAAAAUGGCUCCUAGCAAAGAAAAUUACCUUAUUCAUGGAACUAUCUUUGAGUCGUGGAGGUGAUAUGCAGGUCUCCACUGGGGCACUUUUCUAAGGAGUUUUCAAGGUUAACGCUGACUGUGUGUCACACACCGCCUUCAAGCCCAAUCCCAUGCAAGAGGUGCCUCUUUUGUACAGGAAGAGUUGAUGGAGGACAGGAUGAAUCUCAUCACCCUUGGCUUCUGGUUUCUGGCUAUGACCUAGUCACUUCCUAUGGGAACCUGCUUCUGAUCCUCAGCAGAGACUGGAGGACCUUUCACCUCUGCAUCCUUCAUUAUCCACAUGCAUUUCUGUAUCCAGAGCUGGAGGCAUUUGCGAUGACUCUCCAAGGUCACCAGGAUGUGGCCUGGAAAGGCCAGCAGGAGUGGAGUCAAAGGAAGUGGGUAGUCAUAAGUAUCCCUUGCCUCAUCCAAACUUUUAUCAAAGCUACUUACAAUGUAUCUGAUUGAGCGAUUCCAUUUUAACCUUGUUUUUCUGUUUCUUCCCAACGCUCUAGGGAAUACACAAGUAACAAAGGGAGAAAUUACAACAGUGAGAAUUUCACUAAGGAAUCUAGCCCAUGUCAUCAUGUUUACAGACAGCCCUGGAUUCAACUUGGGACUGGGGCUUAGGGAACCUGGCACCUUUAUUAGCUGGGUAACCUGGGAUGAGUCUAACCUUCAUGAUUUGUCUUCUCAUCUGUCAAAUUGGGCUAAAGAUCUCAGUCUACCCCAGGAGUCUACUGUCAGGGUCAAAUAAAACGAAAGAAUGUGUAUAAAAACAUCAAAAGUAAUGUCACCUUUGUCCCCUACCCCUAGAAUCUCGAGUCUACCUACCUCCAGGUGCUGCUCCUCCCUGCCCCGCUGGGACACGGUGAUUUCCCAGCAGGAUUGCUCUGUGGGAGAUGGGAUGACCAGGCUCCCUCACUCCCAAGAAUGAGCUGCACUGCCCUCUAGUGACAGUGCCCUGUCUAGCAACAGGCCCAGAGGUGCCUGUGUCCUCCCCGCUGGCUG